GACGAACGCUGGCGGCGUGCUUAACACAUGCAAGUCGAACGGAAAGGCCCUGCUUGCAGGGUACUCGAGUGGCGAACGGGUGAGUAACACGGGGGUGAUCUGCCCUGCACUUCGGGAUAAGCCUGGGAAACUGGGUCUAAUACCGGAUAGGUGCCAUUUUUAGUGGGAUGGUUGGAAAGUUUUUUCGGUGUUGGAUGAGCUCGCGGCCUAUCAGCUUGUUGGUGGGGUAAUGGCCUACCAAGGCGGCGACGGGUAGCCGGCCUGAGAGGGUGGACGGCCACAUUGGGACUGAGAUGCGGCCCAGACUCCUACGGGAGGCAGCAGUGGGGAAGAUUGCACAAUGGGCGCAAGCCUGGUGCAGCGGCGCCGCGUGGGGGAUGACGGCCUUCGGGUUGUAGACUCCUUUCGCUAGGGACGAAGCUUUUUGUGACGGUACCUAGAUAAGAAGCACCGGCUAACUACGUG
RNAcentral lists this ribosomal RNA (465 nucleotides) under uncultured bacterium. Its description in RNAcentral is "partial 16S ribosomal RNA". It matches the Rfam family "Bacterial small subunit ribosomal RNA", at positions 28 to 507 of the family's 1533-position model. The record is from RNAcentral.